CCUACGGGAGGCAGCAGUGGGGAAUAUUGGACAAUGGGCGAAAGCCUGAUCCAGCAAUGCCGCGUGAGUGAUGAAGGCCUUAGGGUUGUAAAGCUCUUUUACCAGGGAUGAUAAUGACAGUACCUGGAGAAUAAGCUCCGGCUAACUCCGUGCCAGCAGCCGCGGUAAUACGGAGGGAGCUAGCGUUGUUCGGAAUUACUGGGCGUAAAGCGUACGUAGGCGGUUAUUCAAGUCAGAGGUGAAAGCCCGGGGCUCAACCCCGGAACUGCCUUUGAAACUAGAUAGCUAGAAUCUUGGAGAGGUUAGUGGAAUUCCGAGUGUAGAGGUGAAAUUCGUAGAUAUUCGGAAGAACACCAGUGGCGAAGGCGACUAACUGGACAAGUAUUGACGCUGAGGUACGAAAGCGUGGGGAGCAAACAGGAUUAGAUACCCUGGUAGUCCACGCCGUAAACGAUGAUAACUAGUUGUUCGGGCACUUGGUGCCUGAGUGACGCAGCUAACGCAUUAAGUUAUCCGCCUGGGGAGUACGGUCGCAGAUUAAAACUUAAAGGAAUUGACGG
RNAcentral lists this ribosomal RNA (560 nucleotides) under uncultured bacterium. RNAcentral's name for it is "bacterial SSU rRNA". It matches the Rfam family "Bacterial small subunit ribosomal RNA", at positions 338 to 916 of the family's 1533-position model. The record is from RNAcentral.